Molecule: ribosomal RNA, 501 nt
Filed under: uncultured bacterium
Lineage: Bacteria
Description: bacterial SSU rRNA
Rfam family: Bacterial small subunit ribosomal RNA
Source: RNAcentral
GAUGAACGCUAGCUACAGGCUUAACACAUGCAAGUCGAGGGGCAGUAUGAACUUAGCUUGCUAAGUUUGAUGGCGACCGGCGCACGGGUGAGUAACACGUAUCCAACCUUCCGUUUACUCAGGGAUAGCCUUUCGAAAGAAAGAUUAAUACCUGAUAGUAUGGUGAGAUUGCAUGAUAACACCAUUAAAGAUUUAUUGGUAAACGAUGGGGAUGCGUUCCAUUAGGUAGUAGGCGGGGUAACGGCCCACCUAGCCUGCGAUGGAUAGGGGUUCUGAGAGGAAGGUCCCCCCACAUUGGAACUGAGACACGGUCCAAACUCCUACGGGAGGCAGCAGUGAGGAAUAUUGGUCAAUGGGCGAGAGCCUGAACCAGCCAAGUAGCGUGAAGGAUGAAGGUCCUACGGAUUGUAAACUUCUUUUAUACGGGAAUAAAGUUUCCUACGUGUAGGAUUUUGUAUGUACCGUAUGAAUAAGCAUCGGCUAAACUCCGUGCCAGCAGCC